GCGCCUGUAGCUCAGUGGAUAGAGCAGUGGCCUCCGACGCCAUGUGCGCUGGUUCGACUCCAGUCAGGCGUACCA
This 75-nucleotide transfer RNA is filed under the name Ruminococcus flavefaciens. It matches the Rfam family "tRNA". Rfam says of the family: Transfer RNA (tRNA) molecules are approximately 80 nucleotides in length. Their secondary structure includes four short double-helical elements and three loops (D, anti-codon, and T loops). Further hydrogen bonds mediate the characteristic L-shaped molecular structure. tRNAs have two regions of fundamental functional importance: the anti-codon, which is responsible for specific mRNA codon recognition, and the 3' end, to which the tRNAs corresponding amino acid is attached (by aminoacyl-tRNA synthetases). tRNAs cope with the degeneracy of the genetic code in two manners: having more than one tRNA (with a specific anti-codon) for a particular amino acid; and 'wobble' base-pairing, i.e. permitting non-standard base-pairing at the 3rd anti-codon position. RNAcentral also lists the same sequence under 2 other names. Lineage: Bacteria; Bacillati; Bacillota; Clostridia; Eubacteriales; Oscillospiraceae. The record is from RNAcentral.